This 1438-nucleotide long non-coding RNA is filed under the name Mytilus galloprovincialis (Mediterranean mussel). Lineage: Eukaryota; Metazoa; Mollusca; Bivalvia; Mytilida; Mytilidae. The record is from RNAcentral.
UCUGUGUAAAAUAGUUUUAUUCAAAGAUAUCACAUAUUUUGCAUUACUUUCAUACAAUAUUGAUACAAUAAACAGCUUUACUGAAACAAAAGUAUGAAAUAUAUUUGCCUCGAAUUUCCAUUGGAAAAAAAUAAAGAGACAAUUCAUUUUGAUUUUAUUAUAAGGAAGUAUUUUGUUGGAUAAAUAAAAAAAAAGUGUCAGCUCUUAAUAACAGCUUUAAAACAACUGAAAUAAGGUAAUUAAAGCAAAUAUUCUAUUCUCAAAUUAUAAAACUUUGCAACAGUUGAGAUCAACUCAAUUAUAUCAAAUCAAUUUACAAAUUUUCCAGCUUCAACUGGACCCUUAACAACAUUAAUUGUCUGCCAUUACAUGUACUAUACAUUGGAAAAUUUGCCAAUUUAAGUACUUUGUCAUUUGAGCUGAAAAGCUUUAAUCUAAGAAAAUUAAUCUGUCCCUUGAAUACUAUGAACUAAUAUAUAACUAAAAAAGAUGUUUUGCUAAUAGAAGUACUGAUAAUAGGUAACUUAUAAUUUAUGAUUAUGUAGAUUGACAUAUUUUUAUGGGUACCAAUUUUCAUGGAUUGAAGAAAAAUUGUACCUCUUUAGAUACUUGAUUUUAAGGUAUGAACAAAUUCUAUAUGCAACCAAUUAGGAAAUUUAUAUUAUGUUGAAAUGUUAAUUAGACAUUUGUCUAUAGGCACCAAAUUGAAGACAAAUUAGUAUACAGAAUGAGGCAAACCAUUACACCCAUCUUAUUAAACCCAAGAAUCAAUUAGAAACAGAGACUACUAUUGUUCACAUACUUUAACAUGGUAACACUAAAUGCCCAUACAUACAAUAUGAGCUUCAUAGGACAGAAAUCAACCUUGUGCAAAUGAAUAUAUACAUGUACAUGUAUAGUGGGUCUCAUUGGGGUUUAAGCGUGACGCGGGAUUGCCGAUUUUUUUGUAAGUAAGCAUGACACGUGAAAGUCAAAUUAUGGUGGCGUGAAAACGGGAAAUGAGGUCUUGCAGGACCCGGGAAAUGAUAUAGUGUAAGCGGGAUACGGGAGUCUCACAAAACAGUAAACGUGAUCCAGGAUCGGAACCCCCCCAAUGAGACCCCCUGUAUAAGUCUUUGAUUGAUUUUGGAACAUUGAAAUAUGAAAUGAAAGAUAAAUUUUGGUCUCUUUUAAAGGUUUUUUUAAUAAGCAACUGAAUUUUUUAACAGUUUAGAGAUUUUUUCAACCCCAGUUAGUAUAUAAGAUGUAUUAUAAUUCAUUUGUAUUAAGUCGAUUUCUAUCUGAUGCAACUCAUAUGAUAAAUAAUAAAUAAAUAGCACAGACUUAUACACCAAAAUGCAUGCAUAAACAGUCUCUUAAACAUUUACACUUACAUUCAAUUUCACAUGUAAUUUUGGUAUAUAAAUAAAUACAGAUCUUCAGAAAACAUCAAUUUAAA